GAGUAUGAAGCGAUAUUAUUGCAAUCAGUUUCGACCUGAUCUUAGGUAUUAAUUACCCCUACUCU
RNAcentral lists this transfer RNA (65 nucleotides) under Cryptoperla sp. WY-2013. RNAcentral describes it as "tRNA-Arg". Lineage: Eukaryota; Metazoa; Arthropoda; Insecta; Plecoptera; Peltoperlidae. The record is from RNAcentral.